Molecule: small RNA, 445 nt
Filed under: Pongo abelii (Sumatran orangutan)
Lineage: Eukaryota; Metazoa; Chordata; Mammalia; Primates; Hominidae
Description: processed transcript
Source: RNAcentral
GUUCUCACUGUGUUGCCCAGGCUGGAGUGCAGUGGCACAAUCUUGGUUCCCUGCAACCUCUGUCUCCCAGACUGAGUUUUGUUCUUGUCACCCAGGCUGGAGUGCAAUGGUGCAAUGUCGACUCACUGCAACUUUCACCUCCCAGUUCUGGAGGCCAGAAGUUUGAAAACAAUAUCACUGGACCAAAAUCAAGGUGUCGCUAGGGCUGUGCAUUCUUCCUCUGGAGGUUGUAUGGGAGAAUCUGUUCCUCGCCUCUUCCAGCUUCUCAUGGCUGCCACAUUCCUUGGCUGUGGCUGCAUCACUCAAAUCUUUAUGACCCAGGGGCCUUUUGAGCAGCUUCUUCUGCAAGAGGACAUCCGGAGACACAGGAAUAGAAAUGAUCCGAUCAAAGUAAUUAAAGGCUUUUAACUGAGCUCUGAGGUCCCAAACAGGGCACAUUCAGUCA